CAGCAAUGCCGCGUGUGUGAAGAAGGCCUUCGGGUUGUAAAGCACUUUUAUCGGGAGCGAAAUACCAUGGGUUAAUAACCGGUGGGGCUGACGGUACCCGAGGAAUAAGCACCGGCUAACUUCGUGCCAGCAGCCGCGGUAAUACGAAGGGUGCAAGCGUUAAUCGGAAUUACUGGGCGUAAAGGGUGCGUAGGCGGUUUGUUAAGUCUGUCGUGAAAUCCCCGGGCUCAACCUGGGAAUGGCGAUGGAAACUGGCAGGCUAGAGUGUGUCAGAGGAUGGUGGAAUUCCCGGUGUAGCGGUGAAAUGCGUAGAGAUCGGGAGGAACAUCAGUGGCGAAGGCGGCCAUCUGGGACAACACUGACGCUGAAGCACGAAAGCGUGGGGAGCAAACAGGAUUAGAUACCCUGGUAA
This 412-nucleotide ribosomal RNA is filed under the name uncultured bacterium. RNAcentral describes it as "bacterial SSU rRNA". It matches the Rfam family "Bacterial small subunit ribosomal RNA", at positions 389 to 793 of the family's 1533-position model. The record is from RNAcentral.